GUGAACCAGUGGCUCAGCGGUUAAAGCAGUUGGUUUGCAAUCAGUUGGUCGCAUGUUCGAAUCUUACUCCACU
Molecule: transfer RNA, 73 nt
Filed under: Schistosoma japonicum
Lineage: Eukaryota; Metazoa; Platyhelminthes; Trematoda; Strigeidida; Schistosomatidae
Description: tRNA-Ala
Source: RNAcentral